GACUACAGGGGUAUCUAAGCCUGUUCGCUCCCCACGCUUUCGCGUCUCAGCGUCAGUACCGUACUAGAGAACCGCCUUAGCCACGGGUGUUCUUCCUGAUAUCUGCGCAUUUCACCGCUACACCAGGAAUUCCAUUCUCCUCUUCCGGACUCUAGCCAAACAGUUUCCAUCGACGUCUAGAGGUUAAGCCUCUAGUUUUCACAACGGACUUGUCUGGCCGCCUACACGCUCUUUACGCCCAAUAAAUCCGGACAACGCUUGCCCCCUACGUAUUACCGCGGCUGCUGGCACGUAGUUAGCCGGGGCUUCUUCUGCAGGUACCGUCACCCUCUGGGCUAUUAACCCGAGUGGCUUCGUCCCUGCUGAAAGAGGUUUACAACCCGAAGGCCUUCUUCCCCCACGCGGCGUCGCUGCGUCAGGCUUUCGCCCAUUGCGCAAGAUUCCCCACUGCAGCCGCCCGUAGG
RNAcentral lists this ribosomal RNA (464 nucleotides) under uncultured Actinomycetes bacterium. RNAcentral's name for it is "uncultured actinobacterium partial 16S ribosomal RNA". The record is from RNAcentral. Lineage: Bacteria; Bacillati; Actinomycetota; Actinomycetes.